RNAcentral lists this long non-coding RNA (943 nucleotides) under Nicotiana benthamiana. RNAcentral's name for it is "long non-coding RNA (NBEN_LNC028798)". Lineage: Eukaryota; Viridiplantae; Streptophyta; Magnoliopsida; Solanales; Solanaceae. The record is from RNAcentral.
UUAAAGAAUCAUAUCUCUCUGAUACCAAUUGUUAGCGGAAACCUAAAAAAAGAACACAAGAUUUAACGUGGUUCAGAUCAAAUAAUCCUACGUCCACCAGAGAACAAUUUCCUUUCUAUUAUUUACAAAGGAAGGGAGAAACGUAAAAGAAAGAACACAAGAUUUAAUGUGGUUUGGAUCAAAAUAAUCUUACGUCCACCAGAGAACAAUUGCCCUUUUAGUAUUAACAAAGGAAGGGGAGAUUUCCCAAUUACACUUAAGAGAAUUUCUCUCUUAACUCUCUACUCACUACAAUGUAUUGUAUUAUUUUGGGAUGAUUUCGACAAGUGAAGGAGUGCAUCUAUUUAUAGAGGUAAAGACCUCCUCUUGAUGUCAUUGGUGACAUCAAACUACCUUCUAUUGAUGUCACGUGUGACAUCAAAGGAGGAAGCUUCCUCCUAGCAUCCACACCAACUCUUUCUACCAACUCUUCCAAUUGGCAUGCAAUUGUUGACUAAACAUAAACCAACAUUUUCAUUUAUUAAGUGAAAUAUCAAUUGUUUAGCAUUACCUCCUCAUGAUUACGCUUAUUUGCAAGGAAAAGUAUGCUUUUAGAGCCUUGAUGAUAAGGCUGAAGCGCCCGCUAAGCGAGGCAAAGUGCUCAAUAUGUUUUGAGAUUCGCUUCAGGGCUUAAGCGUGCCUUUGAUAAUACUGCCUAAGUGUGUUCUUUAAUGCUCUUGUUCAAGCAGUUCUCUAGUAUUUUUACCUUGGCUCCACCCCACUCCCACCCCCAUUAUAAAUAUUUGGCAGUUCUCUAGUAUUUUUACCUUGGAAAUGCUAAUAAGUCGUCGCCGUGUUUCCUUAGAUUGGGAAGCAAAUUAAAACUGUCAUGGAAGCUUUCUAGCAUUACAAAGUCAGAAAAAGGAGGAUAUCGCUUGACAUACGAGACACCAGAAGGAGUCGU